AUACAUAGGGGGCGAGCGUUGUCCGGAAUGACUGGGCGUAAAGGGUGUGUAGGCGGUUUAUUAAGUUAGAAGUGUAAUACCCAGGGCUUAACUCGGGUGCUGCUACUAAAACUGGUGAACUUGAGUGUAGGAGAGGAUGAUGGAAUUCCUAGUGUAGCGGUGGAAUGCGCAGAUAUUAGGAGGAACACCAGAGGCGAAAGCGAUCAUCUGGACUACAACUGACGCUGAGGCACGAAAGCGUGGGGAGC
This 248-nucleotide ribosomal RNA is filed under the name uncultured bacterium. RNAcentral's name for it is "partial 16S ribosomal RNA". It matches the Rfam family "Bacterial small subunit ribosomal RNA", at positions 523 to 769 of the family's 1533-position model. The record is from RNAcentral.